ACGUAGGGUGCGAGCGUUAAUCGGAAUUACUGGGCGUAAAGCGUGCGCAGGCGGUUCUAUAAGACAGAUGUGAAAUCCCCGGGCUUAACCUGGGAACUGCGUUUGUGACUGUAGAACUAGAGUGCGGCAGAGGGGGGUGGAAUUCCACGUGUAGCAGUGAAAUGCGUAGAGAUGUGGAGGAACACCGAUGGCGAAGGCAGCCCCCUGGGUCGACACUGACGCUCAUGCACGAAAGCGUGGGGAGCAAACAGGAUUAGAUACCCUGGUAGUCCACGCCCUAAACGAUGCGAACUAGGUGUUGGGGAAGGAGACUUCCUUAGUACCGCAGCUAACGCGUGAAGUUCGCCGCCUGGGGAGUACGGUCGCAAGAUUA
This 373-nucleotide ribosomal RNA is filed under the name uncultured bacterium. RNAcentral's name for it is "bacterial SSU rRNA". It matches the Rfam family "Bacterial small subunit ribosomal RNA", at positions 525 to 896 of the family's 1533-position model. The record is from RNAcentral.